CGUCGAGCGGCGGACGGGUGAGUAAUGCCUAGGAAAUUGCCCUGAUGUGGGGGAUAACCAUUGGAAACGAUGGCUAAUACCGCAUAAUACCUUCGGGUCAAAGAGGGGGACCUUCGGGCCUCUCGCGUCAGGAUAUGCCUAGGUGGGAUUAGCUAGUUGGUGAGGUAAUGGCUCACCAAGGCGACGAUCCCUAGCUGGUCUGAGAGGAUGAUCAGCCACACUGGAACUGAGACACGGUCCAGACUCCUACGGGAGGCAGCAGUGGGGAAUAUUGCACAAUGGGCGCAAGCCUGAUGCAGCCAUGCCGCGUGUGUGAAGAAGGCCUUCGGGUUGUAAAGCACUUUCAGUCGUGAGGAAGGUAGUGUAGUUAAUAGCUGCAUUAUUUGACGUUAGCGACAGAAGAAGCACCGGCUAACUCCGUGCCAGCAGCCGCGGUAAUACGGAGGGUGCGAGCGUUAAUCGGAAUUACUGGGCGUAAAGCGCAUGCAGGUGGUUUGUUAAGUCAGAUGUGAAAGCCCGGGGCUCAACCUCGGAAUAGCAUUUGAAACUGGCAGACUAGAGUACUGUAGAGGGGGGUAGAAUUUCAGGUGUAGCGGUGAAAUGCGUAGAGAUCUGAAGGAAUACCGGUGGCGAAGGCGGCCCCCUGGACAGAUACUGACACUCAGAUGCGAAAGCGUGGGGAGCAAACAGGAUUAGAUACCCUGGUAGUCCACGCCGUAAACGAUGUCUACUUGGAGGUUGUGGCCUUGAGCCGUGGCUUUCGGAGCUAACGCGUUAAGUAGACCGCCUGGGGAGUACGGUCGCAAGAUUAAAACUCAAAUGAAUUGACGGGGGCCCGCACAAGCGGUGGAGCAUGUGGUUUAAUUCGAUGCAACGCGAAGAACCUUACCUACUCUUGACAUCCAGAGAACUUUCCAGAGAUGGAUUGGUGCCUUCGGGAACUCUGAGACAGGUGCUGCAUGGCUGUCGUCAGCUCGUGUUGUGAAAUGUUGGGUUAAGUCCCGCAACGAGCGCAACCCUUAUCCUUGUUUGCCAGCACUU
RNAcentral lists this ribosomal RNA (1041 nucleotides) under Vibrio harveyi. Its description in RNAcentral is "bacterial SSU rRNA". It matches the Rfam family "Bacterial small subunit ribosomal RNA", at positions 89 to 1126 of the family's 1533-position model. The record is from RNAcentral. Lineage: Bacteria; Pseudomonadati; Pseudomonadota; Gammaproteobacteria; Vibrionales; Vibrionaceae.